RNAcentral lists this long non-coding RNA (1438 nucleotides) under Salmo trutta (river trout). Its description in RNAcentral is "lncRNA (ENSSTUG00000029669.1)". Lineage: Eukaryota; Metazoa; Chordata; Actinopteri; Salmoniformes; Salmonidae. The record is from RNAcentral.
CACGAACAGGGAUGUAAACAAAUUUGUGCACAUCAUUUGAGGUAAAUAACCUUUCAAGGAUCUUUAAUUUCAGCUCAUGAAACAUGGGACCAACACUUUACAUGUUGCAUUUAGAUUUCUUUCAGUAUAGAUAACCACCGACUGUAGUUACGUGUACAAUGCACAUUACCUUCCUUACAAGUAAAAAACGAGCAUAUAAUAGCAUAAUGAAUGUUGUGACCUCUUAAUUGAAAAUGUUUCUUUAUAAACAUCACAUGCCACAGAUUUAGGACCUGAAUGUAGAAAUCUUGGUCUGCUGGCCAGUGCCCAAAAUCCUUAUGUUAUAUCCCUGCAUGUCAGUACCUUUCAGACAAUCCCCCUAUCACUGUUGGUCCUCCUCAGUGACCUUAUGGCUGAAGGUUUUAACUUUCCUCUUGAGAAUUAGAAUCAGAAGUAGUUGUAUAGCUCAUUACAAUACUUCACCUCUUCUGGCAAAUAGUAACCUAGACUGUCCUGAUCAUCUAGUUGAGCAUUCCAGAUAAUUCCUUCAUCUCAGCAGAAAUGUCCCAUCCACAUAUUAGGAUUUUAGAUGUGCAGAUAGACCAAAGCCCAGUCUAUUUUACUGUUACUAUAGUCAAGUCUGUGGGUUAUGGUAUUUUAAUGUAGAUGUUAUCAUUUCAGUAAUCAAUUUAGCUAGCUGGUAAAAGUAACUUUUGCUGUCUUUCAGAUGGAUGGACCGGAAACCCAGUGACAACACUUGGGUCUGUAGCUGCCAUUUUCCGAUGGGAAAGAGAAAAGGCUCUGUAUUUACCAGAAAAGGUAGCUCAUCCACCAUGGCAGAAGAUGAAGAUCCAGACUGUUGAUUGGGGAACAAGAACAAACAAUAAGGCAUGAGGAUUGGGUGUUGAUGCAACAGGAGUGCAUCCGUCAGUCCAUCCAGUGCAUGGACAUCCCGCGCCAGUGUCAUCCGGUUGUGGAGACUACAGCAGAACAAGCCUGUAGACCGACAGACAUGAGACGUGACAUGCGGAACAUCAGGCUCGCCCCACGAGAAGCAGUGCAUGAUCAACGCCACCCUCAGCAAGGAGAUCUGCUGGAAGUUAUGUACUCUCUCACUCUGGGGGUAAGACAUCAUUUAAACAUCACAGAUAUAAAUUCCCACUGUGCCCAUGAUGAAAUGCAACUGUGAAUUGUGCUGCACUACUGAAUGAAACAGGAAAUGCACUCAGACCAGCCUUUGUGAUUGAACUUCUGUUAACUACGUUACUUUAGUUGGCUGCUUUGAGCAAAGCUUGUACAGUGCAUUCGGAAAGUAUUCAGACCCCUUCACUUUUUGUUACGUUACAGCCAUAUUCUAAAAUGGAUGAAAGUUUUUUUCCCCCUCUAUCUACACACAAUAGCCCAUAAUGACAAAGCAAAAACAGGUUUGUAUAACAUUUUGAAAUAUCACAUUUACAUA